GAUGAACGCUGGCGGUAUGCUUAACACAUGCAAGUCGAACGGACUCUUCGGAGUUAGUGGCGGACGGGUGAGUAACGCGUGAGAAUCUGGCUUUGGGUUCGGGACAACCACUGGAAACGGUGGCUAAUACCGGAUGUGCCGAGAGGUAAAAGAGAAAUUGCCUGAAGAUGAGCUCGCGUCUGAUUAGCUAGUUGGUGAGGUAAAGGCUCACCAAGGCAGCGAUCAGUAGCUGGUCUGAGAGGAUGACCAGCCACACUGGGACUGAGACACGGCCCAGACUCCUACGGGAGGCAGCAGCGGGGAAUUUUCCGCAAUGGGCGAAAGCCUGACGGAGCAAUACCGCGUGAGGGAAGAAGGCUCUUGGGUUGUAAACCUCUUUUCUUAGGGAAGAACAAAAUGACGGUACCUAAGGAAUCAGCAUCGGCUAACUCCGUG
This 435-nucleotide ribosomal RNA is filed under the name uncultured bacterium. RNAcentral describes it as "partial 16S ribosomal RNA". It matches the Rfam family "Bacterial small subunit ribosomal RNA", at positions 28 to 507 of the family's 1533-position model. The record is from RNAcentral.